This is a long non-coding RNA of Zootoca vivipara (common lizard), 3605 nucleotides long. RefSeq lists it as uncharacterized. NCBI's taxonomy places the organism in Eukaryota, Metazoa, Chordata, Lepidosauria, Squamata, Lacertidae. The record is from RefSeq and is a predicted model, not a curated record.
ACCUGCCAAUGCAAAAACAACUUAAUAUGAUGGCAGUAAUGAUGCACAGGAACAGAAAGUAAGUGCACUGGAAUUUAUUUUGCAGUGCAGGUAAUCUGAAAGUUAAGCAUCUCUUAUCUGAAAGGGGUCCCAGUUUGGGGAGUUUCACAAAAAGUCUCCAAUUGAAAGAUGGAUUUAUACCACUCAAGAACACUCUGAGGUACAGUCAUACCUUGGUUGAUGAACGCCUUCUGAGUUGAACGUUUUGGUCCCCGAAUGCCCCAAACCCAGAAGUGAGUGUUUGCAAACGUUCUUUGGAACCAAAAUGUCCCAUGUGGCUUCUGAUUGGCUACAGGAGCUUCCUGCAGCCAAUCAGAAGCCGCGUCUUGGUUUCCGAACAUUCUGGAAGUCGAACGGACUUCCGGAAUGGAUUCCGGUAGACUUUCAAGGUCUGACUGUACUGAGAAUUUCCAAAGAGCAGAAUUCCCAAUCAUGACAUGGGGACUGCACAUACUUUUUUUAAAAAUCACCGCCUUUAUUUAAAAGAAAACAAAAACAAAAUAAAGCCAAGAAAUUAUGGAAGUUUCUAGUGCAAAUAGUAAUUGUUAAAAUACUUUCAUCACAUGAACAUAAGUAGACUAUUACACAAUAGCUUGUAAAUAUUACUUCUUCUAUACAGGAAAUCCUUCAGAUUUAUUCCUACUCCAAGUACACGCUUCCACAGUAGGAAACAGACGCCCACGGGAUCUGCUUAUCCAGAGACCCAAGUGUGAAGACUGACCAAAGAGGGAACAUAUUCCGUGACAGUCUGAUACUGGCAUCUCCAACCCCACUACAUGCUUAUUGGAGAUGAACUCUCCGAAUAGAAACUGAACAAAUGAAUUUUUCAUCCAGGUGAAGUUUUUGGUGGCUGCAAACCGAACAAACUAAACCAGAAGUGUGCAGAUCUUUGGGCAAGGAUUGGCAAGGAUUUCCGACUUCCAAUUGUUUAACAAUAACAGCAGCAAAAUGACCCCCAUUCCGUGGCAUAAAUUAUACUAUGAAAAUGAACGAAGACGGGGGUAACUGAGAGUGGUUGUGGCCAUUGUCAAACAACUGUGAGCGCCGAUCAAAACCGGAGUUUCGGACAGUGAGAGGGAGAGAUACCUGAGGGGUGAGCUCUCUUGCGGACUUCACACUGGCUUGUAUGCCUUCGACAGUACUUUUGUUGGCUGUUCCAACCGCAGCGGCCUUUUCCGCAGUAGCUCCAAGCCUGGCAGCAUGGUUUUCAAAAUUGGCUGCCCUGUCAUCAAACACCUGAAAGUUGAAAUACAUCAACAACCACAGAUUUAAAAAUGCAGCCAGUUCAGGAUUUUAUACGGGUCCCCAAGCAACUCACGCUAACCCGCUCAAUUACAGACUCGGUGCUUCAAUUAAAGUUAGUUUAAUCAAGGAUGAAUUUACAGUUCUUUGGCAAUUUAUUAGAAAACUAAAACUGUUCAGCAGAGAUACCGCGACAGAACUCUAUUUGGCAAUUCUAAGCCCUGGUUUAGACACACAAGGCUAUGGUGAUAAUGGCGUGAAUGUGCCAUGAUAGAUAUGAGUGCCAAAGACAGAGCUUUCCUCAGGUCACCUGAAAAGUGCGAUUCUUUUCAAGGAAGAUGGUUCAAACAGUCAGUUGUCACCAACCUGGUGCCCCCAGACUCUGAGCUUCCAUUUAAAAAAUAAAAGUAAGCUCUUCUAGAAAGAAAGACAUGUGACAAAAUGCAAAGGUACCCUUCCAUGUGAUUUCUGUGGAAUGUGAGCGGCCUGGCUGCCUUGUAUAUUUUGCCUGCUCCUGAGGAAUGCUCCCUCAGCAACAACAUCUGGGUGUGAUCUCCAUUGCCAGGACCAGCAGGACACAACUGACUUCCCGUGAUAAGCAUAAUGUUGUUGGGGUGGUUGUCUCUCUCAUUUUGUUAAGUCACACAACCCAAGGCAGCCAUUUUGUGACAGGCACCCGCAGAACACUCUCAAGACUCAGAAUGUACCCCUACUCCAAAACAUUUGGCUACACCUGGAUUAAGAUAUAGUAAUGUUUCAAACUAUGGACACCAAUUGCAUUCUUUCUCCUCAAGGGUGGUAGGUAGGAAACCAUUUAAGUAUGAAACUUUUUAAAAGUCUAACAUCUGACCAGCGGCAUAGCUAGCCACUCGGGCACCUGGAGCAGCAACCUGCUCUGUACAGUGUGUGCGCAACGUCACUGCACAUGUGCUGUACGGAGCGGGUUGCCGGCAGCAGCGCUCGAGCCCCGUGAUCCUCUGCUCACGGCUGAGGAUCCCGGCGCUGGAGCACCACCGGCAGCAAACCAUGAGCAAGCCGCGGAGUGAAGUUUUUUUAAAAGCUUUGCUCUGCAGCUGGCAUGCUCAAGCGGAGGCGAGGGAGGGGCGUCAGCAGCCCCUGAGCAGGAAGAAGCAAAGCACGCCGGCCGAGUAAGUGAGCGAGCAGCCAGCCACCAAGCGAGGCUUUUUACCAGGCGGCGGCUGGCUGCUCGCUUACGGGGGGUGCACCAAGUGUCACCCCCCUCCAGGGUGGCACCCGGGGCGGCCCGCCCCCUAUGCACCCCCUUGCUACACCACUGCAUCUGACUCUUACCUUGGCCUAUCCAAAAUUAUAUUUGCUCACUGUAACUUUAAGACUGGUGCAUGCUGGGAACGGACUCACCUCGUCCCUGUUGGGGGCGUCUGGAGGAGCAGUAGCCGCGACUGCCAGCAGUUUAAUUGGCGUCGUCGUGUCGCUGAACACAUCAGAUACUUCCUGGGUCAUGGCUUCUUGCAUCCUUGAUUUAAGAUCCUUAAUAGGAAUAAUAAUAAUAAUAAUAAUAAUAAUAAUAAUAAUAAUAAUAAUAAUUUACUUAUACCCCGCCCUCCCCAGCCAAAGCCGGGCUCAGGGCAGCUAACACUAGAUGUGAAACAACUGAUUAAAAUAUAACUUAAGAACAAGAUUAAAUACAUUAAAAUUAAAAUGCAGCCUCAUACGGAAGGAAAAGGGGGAAAUGGGGGAGGGGAUCAGGUUGGCUCCAGGCCAAAGGCCAGGCGGAACAACUCUGUCUUACAGGCCCUGCGGAAAGAAAUCCAGUCCCACAGGGCCCUGGUCUCAGGAGAUAGAGCAGGGGUAGGCAACCUAAGGCCUGGGGGCUGGAUCCGGUCCAAUCACCUUCUCAAUCUGGCCCACAGACAGUCCGGGAAUCAGCGUGUUUUUACAUGAGUAGAAUGUGUCCUUUUAUUUAAAAUGCAUCUCUAGGUUAUUUGUGGGGCCUGCCUGGUGUUUUUACAUGAGCAGAAUGUGUGCUUUUAUUUAAAAUGUAUCUCUGGGUUAUUUGUGGGGCAUAGGAAUUUGUUCAUUUAUUCCCCCCAAAAUAUAGUCCGGCCCACCACAUGGUCUGAGGGAUGGUGGACCGGCCCAUGGCUGAAAUUCCUCUCAUUGACCCCCACUACUUCCACCAAGUCGGGGCCAGUGUUGAGAAGGCCCUGGUUCUAGUUGAGGCUAAUCUGGUUUCCUUUGGGCCUGGCACCUCUAAGGUGUUACUAUUUAUGGACCUUAAGGUCCUCCACGGGGCAUACCGGGAGAGACGGUCCCGUAAGUAUGAGGUUCCAUGUAAAAAAAGA